CACACGGAAAGGCAGGGAGGCUCUGCCUGACCCCACCGCCUCCUCCACCCUCCGGUUUGAUUUGCAUUUGAGAACGGGACUCAGACCCCGCUGGCUGCCGGGACUCCUGCCGGAGACAGGCUCAGGGCAUCUGCAGUUCUCAGUGUGGGAAACGCUGCCUGGGUCCUUCCCCUGCACCCACAGAAAGUGCCCAAGGUGCCCCGGGCACCAGCUCGCCCGCUUGUGCAGGGAGGGCUGGGCCGGAAGUUAGAGGCGAACACUGCAGGAUAAUGGGUGAUUGGACCAUGUUAUUCUUACUUCUAGCAACAGUGAAAAUAAUUCUGAAGCAAAGCAAGCAGAAGACAGAGUUAAUAGCAGGAAUAUCUGUCCAGGCCCUAGGAAGGCUCCGAUCCCAACUUUCCCCAUUACGUGGGUGGUAACGUGAGACACGGCAGCAGGCUGAGACCCGCCCAAGGCCAUACAGCCUCAGGAGCUCCUCCCUCUUCUCCAGGACCGCCAUUCCCUAGAGCACCCCCAAGUGGGAUUGAGGCCGGGGCCCAACACUGAGAUACAUUCCUGUUCGUUUUUAAAAAGCUUGCGAUGCAGGUUCUGGCUAAGUCACUAAAUUGCCCUAGCUGGGCUAGAACUCGAGAUCCUUCUGCUGCAGCCUCCCAGAGCACAAGAUUACAGCCAUUUGGGAUGCUUCUGACAUCUGUGGAG
This is a long non-coding RNA of Heterocephalus glaber (naked mole-rat), 699 nucleotides long. The record is from Ensembl. NCBI's taxonomy places the organism in Eukaryota, Metazoa, Chordata, Mammalia, Rodentia, Bathyergidae.